RNAcentral lists this ribosomal RNA (428 nucleotides) under uncultured Ralstonia sp. Its description in RNAcentral is "bacterial SSU rRNA". It matches the Rfam family "Bacterial small subunit ribosomal RNA", at positions 355 to 774 of the family's 1533-position model. Lineage: Bacteria; Pseudomonadati; Pseudomonadota; Betaproteobacteria; Burkholderiales; Burkholderiaceae. The record is from RNAcentral.
UGGGGAAUUUUGGACAAUGGGGGCAACCCUGAUCCAGCAAUGCCGCGUGUGUGAAGAAGGCCUUCGGGUUGUAAAGCACUUUUGUCCGGAAAGAAAUCGCACUUACUAAUAUUAGGUGUGGAUGACGGUACCGGAAGAAUAAGGACCGGCUAACUACGUGCCAGCAGCCGCGGUAAUACGUAGGGUCCAAGCGUUAAUCGGAAUUACUGGGCGUAAAGCGUGCGCAGGCGGUUGUGCAAGACCGAUGUGAAAUCCCCGGGCUUAACCUGGGAAUUGCAUUGGUGACUGCACGGCUAGAGUGUGUCAGAGGGGGGUAGAAUUCCACGUGUAGCAGUGAAAUGCGUAGAGAUGUGGAGGAAUACCGAUGGCGAAGGCAGCCCCCUGGGAUAACAGCUGACGCUCAUGCACGAAAGCGUGGGGAGCAAACA